Non-coding RNA from Pelobates cultripes (western spadefoot toad), 928 nucleotides. The record is from the annotation of a GenBank genome assembly. NCBI's taxonomy places the organism in Eukaryota, Metazoa, Chordata, Amphibia, Anura, Pelobatidae.
UUAUUAAGUAACAUCAUGAAUUUCUCUAUUUUAUAAAAUAUAGGAAUAUAACCGCAAAUAAGACACAAACUAUGACAAAUGUUACUGGGAAACUAGAGGUUAUAGAAGAUCCUGCUCAAAUGAAUUUACAAUCUAGAGGUAAGGUCUAAAAGCCCAAGUGAAAGAACAAGACUUGACUGACGAGAUGGGUUUUUAAGGACUAGGGAUUAAAGAGUAAGGGAAUGUCUGCUGAUACAGAAAGCCAGCGUAAUGAUUAAAAUAAGAGGUGAGGUGUGAGAGGUGCAAUGAGAACAGACAAGAAGCCUGGAAUUACCAUUCAUCAUGAUCUGUAGAUAGGCAUUAUGAAUUCUGGAAAGAGUUAUACUAAUUAAUGCAGAACAUUAUAGGACUGUAAUCACAUAAUUUAGUGACAGAACACGUACAGUGAGGUAAUGGAAGGUAAGAUGUAAUGGAGUGAGCUUGCAAGAAUAGACUGAUAUGUAACAUAAACCUGCAGAGUGAGUGAUAGUCGAAGUUUAGAUUUAUAAAAAAGGACUAGCAGAUGCUCCAUUUUGGAAAGACUGAGAAGUAGAAAGUCUAAGACAUCCAGUUGCAAAUGGAAGAGAAGCAGCAAGGAGAUUAGGUAAGUAGAGAAUAUCUGGGUAUCACUGGCAUGCAGGUGGUACUAGAUUAAAAAUGAGCUAAUACAUUGACCAAAAGACAUAAAGAGAGAAACAGAAGGGAGGCAAGGACAAAGUCUUGGGGGACUCUAAAUGAAACAGAUUGAGAGCAUAUGAUGUUUACAGUAGAGGUCAUGAUAAAAAAAAAAGCAUUAAAGGAACAGUCCACACCCAAAAAAGCACUUCAGCUUACUGGGUGAGGAGUACCUUAGUUUAACCCCAGUUUAUAAAAGUGCUGAUUUCUGUAAGAAACCAGCACUUUAAUAAAC